UCCGGGGGUAGAGCACUGUUUCGGCUAGGGGGCCAUCCCGGCUUACCAACCCGAUGCAAACUGCGAAUACCGGAGAAUGUUAUCACGGGAGACACACGGCGGGUGCUAACGUCCGUCGUGAAGAGGGAAACAACCCAGACCGCCAGCUAAGGUCCCAAAGUCAUGGUUAAGUGGGAAACGAUGUGGGAAGGCCCAGACAGCCAGGAUGUUGGCUUAGAAGCAGCCAUCAUUUAAAGAAAGCGUAAUAGCUCACUGGUCGAGUCGGCCUGCGCGGAAGAUGUAACGGGGCUAAACCAUGCACCGAAGCUGCGGCAGCGACACUUUAGUGUUGUUGGGUAGGGGAGCGUUCUGUAAGCCGUUGAAGGUGUCCUGUGAGGGGUGCUGGAGGUAUCAGAAGUGCGAAUGCUGACAUAAGUAACGAUAAAGCGGGUGAAAAGCCCGCUCGCCGGAAGACCAAGGGUUCCUGUCCAACGUUAAUCGGGGCAGGGUGAGUCGACCCCUAAGGCGAGGCCGAAAGGCGUAGUCGAUGGGAAACGGGUUAAUAUUCCCGUACUUGGUGUUACUGCGAAGGGGGGACGGAGAAGGCUAUGUUGGCCGGGCGACGGUAGUCCCGGUUUAAGCGUGUAGGUGUGUGUUCCAGGUAAAUCCGGUUCACUUUAACACUGAGGCGUGAUGACGAGGCACCACGGUGCUGAAGCAACAAAUGCCCUGCUUCCAGGAAAAGCCUCUAAGCAUCAGGUAACAUCAAAUCGUACCCCAAACCGACACAGGUGGUCAGGUAGAGAAUACCAAGGCGCUUGAGAGAACUCGGGUGAAGGAACUAGGCAAAAUGGUGCCGUAACUUCGGGAGAAGGCACGCUGACACGUAGGUGAAGUGAUUUACUCACGGAGCUGAAGUCAGUCGAAGAUACCAGCUGGCUGCAACUGUUUAUUAAAAACACAGCACUGUGCAAACACGAAAGUGGACGUAUACGGUGUGACGCCUGCCCGGUGCCGGAAGGUUAAUUGAUGGGGUCAGCGCAAGCGAAGCUCCUGAUCGAAGCCCCGGUAAACGGCGGCCGUAACUAUAACGGUCCUAAGGUAGCGAAAUUCCUUGUCGGGUAAGUUCCGACCUGCACGAAUGGCGUAAUGAUGGCCAGGCUGUCUCCACCCGAGACUCAGUGAAAUUGAACUCGCUGUGAAGAUGCAGUGUACCCGCGGCAAGACGGAAAGACCCCGUGAACCUUUACUAUAGCUUGACACUGAACAUUGAGCCUUGAUGUGUAGGAUAGGUGGGAGGCUUUGAAGCGUGGACGCCAGUCUGCGUGGAGCCGACCUUGAAAUACCACCCUUUAAUGUUUGAUGUUCUAACGUGGACCCGUAAUCCGGGUUGCGGACAGUGUCUGGUGGGUAGUUUGACUGGGGCGGUCUCCUCCUAAAGAGUAACGGAGGAGCACGAAGGUUGGCUAAUCCUGGUCGGACAUCAGGAGGUUAGUGCAAUGGCAUAAGCCAGCUUGACUGCGAGCGUGACGGCGCGAGCAGGUGCGAAAGCAGGUCAUAGUGAUCCGGUGGUUCUGAAUGGAAGGGCCAUCGCUCAACGGAUAAAAGGUACUCCGGGGAUAACAGGCUGAUACCGCCCAAGAGUUCAUAUCGACGGCGGUGUUUGGCACCUCGAUGUCGGCUCAUCACAUCCUGGGGCUGAAGUAGGUCCCAAGGGUAUGGCUGUUCGCCAUUUAAAGUGGUACGCGAGCUGGGUUUAGAACGUCGUGAGACAGUUCGGUCCCUAUCUGCCGUGGGCGCUGGAAGACUGAGGGGGGCUGCUCCUAGUACGAGAGGACCGGAGUGGACGCAUCACUGGUGUUCGGGUUGUCAUGCCAAUGGCACUGCCCGGUAGCUAAAUGCGGAAAAGAUAAGUGCUGAAAGCAUCUAAGCACGAAACUUGCCCC
Molecule: ribosomal RNA, 1925 nt
Filed under: Salmonella enterica subsp. diarizonae
Lineage: Bacteria; Pseudomonadati; Pseudomonadota; Gammaproteobacteria; Enterobacterales; Enterobacteriaceae
Description: partial 23S ribosomal RNA
Rfam family: Bacterial large subunit ribosomal RNA
Source: RNAcentral